Molecule: ribosomal RNA, 254 nt
Filed under: uncultured bacterium
Lineage: Bacteria
Description: partial 16S ribosomal RNA
Rfam family: Bacterial small subunit ribosomal RNA
Source: RNAcentral
UACGUAGGGGGCGAGCGUUGUCCGGAUUUAUUGGGCGUAAAGAGCUCGUAGGCGGCUUGGCAAGUCGGGUGUGAAACCUCCAGGCUCAACCUGGAGACGCCACUCGAUACUGCCAUGGCUAGAGUCCGGUAGGGGACCACGGAAUUCCAGGUGUAGCGGUGAAAUGCGUAGAUAUCUGGAGGAACACCGGUGGCGAAGGCGGCGUUCUGGACUGUCUCUGACACUGAAGAACGAAAGCCAGGGGAGCAAACGGG